GACGAACGCUGGCGGCGUGCUUAACACAUGCAAGUCGAACGAGAGCGUAGAGAAAGCUUGCUUUUUCUACAAUCUAGUGGCAAACGGGUGAGUAACGCGUAAACAACCUGCCCUACGGAUGGGGACAACAGCUGGAAGCGGCUGCUAAUACCGAAUACGUUCCGAAAGUCGCAUGACUAUCGGAAGAAAGGAUGGCCUCUAUUUAUAAGCUAUCGCCGGAGGAGGGGUUUGCGUCUGAUUAGCUAGUUGGAGGGGUAACGGCCCACCAAGGCGACGAUCAGUAGCCGGUCUGAGAGGAUGAACGGCCACAUUGGAACUGAGACACGGUCCAGACUCCUACGGGAGGCAGCAGUGGGGAAUCUUCCGCAAUGGGCGAAAGCCUGACGGAGCAACGCCGCGUGAGUGAAGACGGCCUUCGGGUUGUAAAGCUCUGUUAUACGGGACGAAUAAUCUUGUGGUUAAUACCCAGGAGAAGUGACGGUACCGUAAGAGAAAGCCACGGCUAACUACGUG
Molecule: ribosomal RNA, 513 nt
Filed under: uncultured bacterium
Lineage: Bacteria
Description: partial 16S ribosomal RNA
Rfam family: Bacterial small subunit ribosomal RNA
Source: RNAcentral